GAUAGGUGGGUUUUAUCACCUCCCUGCCUGCUCCAUGCACAUGUGUGUAUGCUUUUCCAAUCAGAGCCCAUCCGCCCUUCCCUUCUGUUUCCAUGCAGGACUGCUUUCCAUCACAGCUGUAACUCUGCACACCCAUGGAGAGCGAAGGUGGGAAGGAGUGACCAGAGGUGAUGGCUGCAGAGGUGAAAGAGAAAGGCCGUGUCAGAGAGUGAAUUCCUGCCUGCAUCGAUGGCAGCGGAGGGAUUGUGUGAGCACAUGAAUUAUGGAACACCAUGCAAGAGGCAGAACACAGCAGUGUGCAGAGAACCUGGCCCUGAUCCUGGUGCAGAAGAGCAAUCCUGCUGCUGCCAGAGGAGCUGCACUGACAUCAAUCUGCUGUAAGCUGGAGCAUCACAGAGCCUUGCAUUGGACAUUUUCCACCUUCCAGAGUGAACGGGUGGACUCCUCUCAAGCAGACAAGCCUCAGCAUGCACAGUUAUCCUUCUUAGAUGGAUGUCAUUAUCCGCAGCAGGCAGCUUUGCUGGUUUUUCCUCCCCCUCACCAUCUCUGCCAAGAGGACCGGAGGGCUGCGGUCAGUGGCACCACCGAGGGACACGUGGACUGACAGUGUGCCAACACAGCAGAAAGCUGCAGUCUGGAGCUCCAGAAACGUACAAAAGCAGAGCUCCUGUAAACCACUGACAGCAUUGGGAUCGCCAGCACAAGGGAGCACUCUAUUUGAAUUCUUUGCACUGGAGGCAAUUGAUGACCUUUCUUUGGCUCGGCGUCGAUCUGACCAUGCAGGGAGACCUCCCCACACUGAUCCCAGGUGGGAUUCUUCCUGCACGGUUGCUCCCACGUAGCAUCCAAAGGUAGGGAACUCCGUCUUGUUAACAUGCCCAAUCUCCGACAGCCACACCACUUAAUUUUGGCUUCAGUUUUGUGUUUUGCCCCCCUGGGGCUGUCCUGGCUGGACCUCACAGCACACCCACCACAGCUCCUAACAGAAAACCGACUGCUCAUAGAAUUUAAGUUGGAAGGGACCUUUAAAGGCCAUCUGGUCCCACUCCACCAAACAGGGACACCCGCAGCUCCAUCAGUGCUCGGAGCCCACCCUCCCCACCCGGUGUGCCCGCAGGGAUGGGGAGGCACUCCCAGCGCAAGAAGCACGAAAAGCUGCUUCUUUACGCUCAGCCUAAACUCCCCCCACUCGCGAAACCGUUUCCAUCCCCCUCAUCCCAUCACAGCGGGAUGAAGGGGAAAAAAAAGAAGAGAACAGGAGGCAGCCUUCCUCGUGCAGGCGGUGCCAGGCGGAGCGGGGCGGGCUGGCGGCGGGGAUCGCCGAGCCGGAGCCGUGCUGGCUGCCCCCCGCCGCUGCCCCCGGCGCAGCCCCGCCGCCCGUCGCUCACC
Molecule: long non-coding RNA, 1389 nt
Filed under: Gallus gallus (chicken)
Lineage: Eukaryota; Metazoa; Chordata; Aves; Galliformes; Phasianidae
Description: long non-coding RNA NONGGAT004896
Source: RNAcentral